This 425-nucleotide ribosomal RNA is filed under the name uncultured bacterium. Its description in RNAcentral is "partial 16S ribosomal RNA". It matches the Rfam family "Bacterial small subunit ribosomal RNA", at positions 354 to 796 of the family's 1533-position model. The record is from RNAcentral.
GUGGGGAAUCUUGCGCAAUGGGCGAAAGCCUGACGCAGCCAUGCUGCGUGAAUGAUGAAGGUCUUAGGAUUGUAAAAUUCUUUCACCGGGGACGAUAAUGACGGUACCCGGAGAAGAAGCUCCGGCUAACUUCGUGCCAGCAGCCGCGGUAAUACAAAGGGGGCUAGCGUUGCUCGGAAUUACUGGGCGUAAAGGGCGCGUAGGCGGACAGCUUAGUCAGAGGUGAAAGCCCAGGGCUCAACCUUGGAAUUGCCUUUGUUACUGGCUGUCUUGAGUUUGGGAGAGGUGAGUGGAACUCCGAGUGUAGAGGUGAAAUUCGUAGAUAUUCGGAAGAACACCAGUGGCGAAGGCGACUCACUGGCCCAAUACUGACGCUGAGGCGCGAAAGCGUGGGGAGCAAACAGGAUUAGAUACCCGAGUAGUCC